UUAACCUCAAAUCAGGUGGGACUACCCGCUGAACUUAAGCAUAUCAAU
Molecule: ribosomal RNA, 48 nt
Filed under: Auritella brunnescens
Lineage: Eukaryota; Fungi; Basidiomycota; Agaricomycetes; Agaricales; Inocybaceae
Description: partial large subunit ribosomal RNA
Source: RNAcentral